This 358-nucleotide long non-coding RNA is filed under the name Heterocephalus glaber (naked mole-rat). RNAcentral's name for it is "lncRNA (ENSHGLG00100051988.1)". The record is from RNAcentral. Lineage: Eukaryota; Metazoa; Chordata; Mammalia; Rodentia; Bathyergidae.
CUUGUGGGCACUAGACACCCUAAGUAGACAUCAUCCCCAGAGAGAGAGAGAGAGAGAGAGAGAGAGAGAGAGAGAGACUAAGAAAUAAGAAAUUUUGAAGAAUUUAAAUAAACUUUAGAGUAGGGCAACAUAGAAAAUAUGAUAAUUUUCAUGUGGAGAUCCUGCCUCUUCCAUUCACCAACUAAUAUCAAGAAAUUAAGCACUCCCGAGAGAAUCCCAUGAAGUCCAAACAAAGGAGCUCAGAAAAUAACAGUGAAGACACCUUCACCAGUUUAAUGUCACAUCACCAUAAAAAGAAGAAAUUGAAAAAACGUGAGGCAUGCUGAAAACACCAAAUCAGCCCACUGCAGACAGGCAG